AAGUCGUAACAAGGUCUCCGUAGGUGAACCUGCGGAGGGAUCAUUACCGAGUGAGGGCCUCCGGGCCCGACCUCCAACCCUAUGUCUACCGACCCUGUUGCCUCGGGGGUGACCCGGCGCCCGUUCCUCGGGCGCCCCGGGGCCCCCGGCCGGACCCCGUCCAACGCUGCAUCUGUGCGUCCGAGUCAUAUUUGAAUCAAUCAAAA
Molecule: unclassified non-coding RNA, 206 nt
Filed under: plant metagenome
Description: partial contains small subunit ribosomal RNA and internal transcribed spacer 1
Rfam family: Eukaryotic small subunit ribosomal RNA (bases 1-46)
Source: RNAcentral